AUGGAGGCGGAAACGAGGCCGUCUGAGGCAAUCGCCGAUCCUCCGCGGUCGGCGCGCUCCUCGCCCGUAGGCGGCGCAGGGGGCCCGUCCCGGAUCGGCUCUCGCUCUCGUUCUCUCAGUCCUCGCGCGGGAUCUGGCGGGGACCAUGUCGCCUCGCCGCAGCUUGUCAGUGGACGGGAGGAGAGGCGAUGGAAUCAAUGGCGGGCUUCUUUUGCCGAUAGGUCGGAUCCAGGCGUAUGGAUCGAAGGGCGCCUUCGACUCACGUUGCCUUCGCGCUGGAUGGCGCUCCUCGAUCUGGAGAACGAAGUGCUCGCCGGCGACUACCUUCCGGACGACGACGUGAUUGAGGUGGGGUUUCAAUUCAAUUUUGAUUCUUAUUGCGUGGUUGUCGGCGAUUGCGUGCAGAUCGACGUACGCACAAGGGCAACGCACAAGGGCAACGGAGAUGAUUGA
This 453-nucleotide ribosomal RNA is filed under the name Triticum aestivum (bread wheat). RNAcentral describes it as "partial small subunit ribosomal RNA". Lineage: Eukaryota; Viridiplantae; Streptophyta; Magnoliopsida; Poales; Poaceae. The record is from RNAcentral.